RNAcentral lists this ribosomal RNA (613 nucleotides) under Cladophialophora carrionii. Its description in RNAcentral is "eukaryotic LSU rRNA". It matches the Rfam family "Eukaryotic large subunit ribosomal RNA", at positions 38 to 667 of the family's 3401-position model. Lineage: Eukaryota; Fungi; Ascomycota; Eurotiomycetes; Chaetothyriales; Herpotrichiellaceae. The record is from RNAcentral.
GCAUAUCAAUAAGCGGAGGAAAAGAAACCAACAGGGAUUGCCUCAGUAACGGCGAGUGAAGCGGCAACAGCUCAAAUUUGAAAUCUGGCCUCCCGGGGUCCGAGUUGUAAUUUGUAGAGGAUGUUUUGGGUACCGCCCCGGUUUAAAUUUCUUGGAACAGAAUGUCAGAGAGGGUGAGAAUCCCGUCUUGGACCGGCGGUAGGGCCUGUGUAAAACUCCUUCGACGAGUCGAGUUGUUUGGGAAUGCAGCUCAAAAUGGGUGGUAAAUUUCAUCUAAAGCUAAAUAUUGGCCAGAGACCGAUAGCGCACAAGUAGAGUGAUCGAAAGAUGAAAAGAACUUUGAAAAGAGAGUUAAACAGUAUGUGAAAUUGUUGAAAGGGAAGCGCUUGCAACCAGACUUGAGCGCGACGGUUCCCCUAGCCUUUUGGCUAGGUUACUCCGUCGUGUCCAGGCCAACAUCGGUUCUGAGGGUCGGUCAAAGGCUCUGGGAAUGUAUCUACCCACGGGUAGACUUAUAGACCAGGGUGUCAUGCGACCUCUCGGGACCGAGGAACGCGCUUCGGCUCGGAUGUUGGCGUAAUGGUUGUCAGCGACCCGUCUUGAAACACGGACC